UACGUAGGGGGCAAGCGUUGUUCGGAAUUACUGGGCGUAAAGGGCGCGUAGGCGGCACGGCAAGUCGGGAGUGAAAGCCCGGGGCUCAACCCCGGAGGGUCUCUCGAAACUGCCGAGCUAGAGUGCGGAAGAGGCAAUCGGAAUUCCCAGUGUAGCGGUGAAAUGCGUAGAUAUCAGGAGGAAUACCGAUGGCGAAGGCAGGUCUCUGGGCUAUAACUGACGCUCAUGCACGAAAGCGUGGGGAGCAAACAGG
RNAcentral lists this ribosomal RNA (253 nucleotides) under uncultured bacterium. RNAcentral describes it as "partial 16S ribosomal RNA". It matches the Rfam family "Bacterial small subunit ribosomal RNA", at positions 524 to 776 of the family's 1533-position model. The record is from RNAcentral.